This 123-nucleotide non-coding RNA is filed under the name Schistocerca americana (American grasshopper). RNAcentral's name for it is "U4atac minor spliceosomal RNA". It matches the Rfam family "U4atac minor spliceosomal RNA". From Rfam's summary of the family: U4atac is an essential component of the minor U12-type spliceosome complex which is required for removal of the rarer class of eukaryotic introns (AT-AC, U12-type). The record is from RNAcentral. Lineage: Eukaryota; Metazoa; Arthropoda; Insecta; Orthoptera; Acrididae.
UUAAUCCUUGUCUGGGAGAGCAAAAUGCCCAAUGAACGUAUAGUGAGGGCAUUGCUGCUAACACCCAUUUACAUAUUCAGCCCGCACCCUAUCCUACCCAGAUAGAGUGCAAUUUUUGCAACC